UCGGGAAUUUUGGGCAAUGGGCGAAAGCCUGACCCAGCAACGCCGCGUGAGGGAUGAAGUAUUUCGGUAUGUAAACCUCGAAAGAAUGGGAAGAAUAAAUGACGGUACCAUUUAUAAGCUCCGGCUAACUACGUGCCAGCAGCCGCGGUAAUACGUAGGGAGCAAGCGUUGUUCGGAUUUACUGGGCGUAAAGGGCGCGUAGGCGGCGCGGUAAGUCACUUGUGAAAUCUCUGAGCUUAACUCAGAACGGCCAAGUGAUACUGCUGUGCUAGAGUGCGGAAGAGGCAACCGGAAUUCUUGGUGUAGCGGUGAAAUGCGUAGAUAUCAAGAGGAACACCUGAGGCGAAGGCGGGUUGCUGGGCCGACACUGACGCUGAUGCGCGA
Molecule: ribosomal RNA, 384 nt
Filed under: uncultured bacterium
Lineage: Bacteria
Description: bacterial SSU rRNA
Rfam family: Bacterial small subunit ribosomal RNA
Source: RNAcentral